CUUCAGCCUUCAGCCCUCUUCUUCCUGCCGAGGCGAGGGGGCUGCUGGGAGGUUUUGGUCCUGCAGACUCGAGAGUCGCUGGGAGGAGAGGAAAGUAUGUCGGCCCCAGGUCCCGGGCUCUGCUCCUGCGCUCUGGCCUCCGGUUUCUCUGGGCGUAGGAGAGGAGGGCAGGGAUCCUGUGAAUAAAAUGGCGCAGACGUGCUUGUGCGGCUUUCCUGCUGGAGUCCAUGAGCGUCUCGAGGAUUUGCAUCCAUGUGCUCAUAAGCAAUGGGAGUGAAUGAAGAGCCAGGCCCAGCAACAGAGGGGAGCCUGCCCACAUGGAGCAAAAGGAGCCGGACACCAGAUUCACCCACGGCGCG
RNAcentral lists this long non-coding RNA (359 nucleotides) under Homo sapiens (human). Its description in RNAcentral is "non-protein coding lnc-RXRA-3:2". The record is from RNAcentral. Lineage: Eukaryota; Metazoa; Chordata; Mammalia; Primates; Hominidae.